RNAcentral lists this non-coding RNA (73 nucleotides) under uncultured Thomasclavelia sp. Lineage: Bacteria; Bacillati; Bacillota; Erysipelotrichia; Erysipelotrichales; Coprobacillaceae. The record is from RNAcentral.
UGAGCCGUAUGAGGGGAAACUCUCACGUACGGUUCUUUGGGGAGGGAGCAACAGCAAUGUUGCUUUCUUACCC